This 253-nucleotide ribosomal RNA is filed under the name uncultured bacterium. RNAcentral's name for it is "partial 16S ribosomal RNA". It matches the Rfam family "Bacterial small subunit ribosomal RNA", at positions 524 to 776 of the family's 1533-position model. The record is from RNAcentral.
UACAGAGGCUCCAAGCGUUAUCCGGAAUCACUGGGCGUAAAGGGUGCGUAGGCGGUUUUGUUAGUCUUUUGUUAAAACCCUCGGCUCAACCGAGGACAGGCAAGGGAAACGGCAUAACUUGAGGAUGUGAGAGGUGUGCGGAACUCAUAGUGUAGGGGUGAAAUCCGUUGAUAUUAUGGGGAACACCAAAUGCGAAGGCAGCACACUGGCACACUCCUGACGCUGAGGCACGAAAGCGUGGGUAGCGAACGGG